Molecule: RNA transcript, 4702 nt
Organism: Bacillus rossius redtenbacheri
Lineage: Eukaryota; Metazoa; Arthropoda; Insecta; Phasmatodea; Bacillidae
Exons: 4
Source: RefSeq, a predicted model, not a curated record
UUAUUUAUAUUGUAUUACUUUUUAAGUUACAAAUAUUAAUAUACAGGCUAUUUACACUCUAGAGAGAGUAAAGUGUUUACAUGUAGACCAACACAUUUAGAGAAAAAAAUACAAAAAUUGAAUACUACUACUGCGAUUCAGUAUGAAGAGAGAAAAAUGAAGUAGGUAGGCUACAUUAAUUAACACCUAAAUGGUUCUUCAUCCGUUUUAUCGUCUUUGCAAACAAUCUCCGUACUGGGACCAGCAACAGCAGCUGAAAGGAAAGGGAACACUAGAGGCGAGGCAACAAGGCAGGCCAGAUGAUCCGGCAUGGUGGCCAACGCAGCGAGGGGUUCCGGGGAGGCCCCACCUCCCGGACAGGUAGCGCCUGUCCCUCAGCAGUAAUCUCAUUAGGAGCAGCGCCUCUCUCCCUGUCUGUCGAGUGUUCUCAGAGCUUUGAGUACUAAGUCAGGAGUCUAUGAUGCAACACUUUGGAGGGCUGAGACACCUCCGCAGGUCGGGACUUGGCAGGAAUUUAGAGAUGGAGGACGGCAUGUGGCAUGAGUGUGAAAGUGACAGGGGCUGGUGGCGAUACCGUCGAAUCCUCAGAGCGAUAUGUGAGAGAAGUAAAGUGAAGACGGCGAGUGACCUCUUCGUGAGCGACAGUGGACAACAAGUAACAGGCUUCGUAUGGAAAGAUUGGUGCAUCGGGGACUGAAGCAUCUGGGUGUUGUAUGAGCAGCGAAUGAGUAAGUUGAGUAGUGCGAGGCAGUGUGUUGGGACAGAUGUACAUAGUAAGAAACGAGCAGUAAAGAGAGCCACUGUCAAGCUGAGCUCCAGUGAAGAGAGUAAAUGGUGUGGAUUGGGCAAGAGAGGGGAUGGGGGGGGGGGGGGGGAAUUGACAUCGACCCAGGCAAUGCCCUCCCACAAGCCCAAUGUGCUUUGACCCUUUAUGCCUUAUUAACUCCUCUCCAACCAUCACCUUCUAUCUUCCACCGGCUGUUUUAACCUCCCGCCAGCAAUAUGCAUGUGUGAGUGUGACAUAAUGAUACCCACAACCGCAAGAGGCAACGUAGAGACAGUGAUCUGCACCCCAAAUUGAUUAAAUGCACAAUAAUAUUAUAACCUUAAUAUUUUACAUCACAUGUAUCUAUUAAAUUUUUUCUUCAGUUCAAACUAAAUAACGAAAAAGCUGCACUAUGUACAAGCUUUCACGAACAUACUUCCUCUUGAGCGGUUUAGGUUUUGAACUGUAAAUUUUAAUACAAAAAUAUGUGAUCAUAAAAGUAAUUUAUUAGCUUGUAUAAGUCAGCAACAGCAAGUGUUAAAAGGUUUAUUGUUUCCCAUCGGCAAAAAUUCAAUGAAGACUAAACUGUGAUAGGAAGGAAGGCAACGAUGCUUCCCUUGCGGCCAAGACACCCUCUUGACUCUCUCGCCCGCAGGACGCUGCUCGUGCACCUCAUCCGUUUCACCUCAUGACAUUUGAUCUGAUGGCAUCCAUUCUUUAUUUAAGUAAUCUAAAACCUUUGCUUUUAUCUUCGAGGCCUACUACAGGUGGCAGACUUUUCAGCAUGUAUAAUUUAAGUUCAGCGUCUUAACUUUCUAGACCAGGUCACGUGGUGUCCUUGUCCAUACCUAAAUUGAUUAUGUGCAGUUGGCUUUUUGAUGGUUUUAAAUUGUUUAGUACGUGGAGUAAAACGUGCGUGACUCUCGUGAGUAUUUAUCUUAGAGGUGGACGGGAUCCCGAAAUUCAGGAUAAAAGUCGGGAAAAAAACCAUUCCCGAAAUUCGGGAAAAAUUAUUUUUCUCUUCGGGAUAACACCUCGGGAAAACUAAUUUUUUUAAAUAGUAAAAACCUUCGUCGUACUAAUUUUUAUAUUAUAAAAAUACGUUAUGUAUAUAACAACUUCGUAUACGUAUUAAACAAACAAAGUACAAAGACAUCACAAAAAAUAAAAUACAUAUUAUAAACAUUAACGUAAAUUCAACACUCGUUCAUAAACAUAGUUUAAAAUAAAUCUCAGACUAAAUAAAGAACUCAAUGUUGAAUAUUAUUUUAAAUGAAUUUAUUUUUAAGUUUGGCGAAUGUUAACAUCUUUGCCGUAUUUUUAGGUUAUAAAUUGUCUUCAAAAUUAACAAGAGCAACAAUAAGAGUGUUGCCAAACGCGUAAUAUUCGAAACGCUAAAAAACUGAAAGACGCCAUCUUGGUUUCAAAUGUUUAUGCCAUUAUAAAUGUAUUUCAUAAACAUCAGAGGGUUUUACGUUUUAGUAGUUGGUCAUUAUGUAAGAAUGAAAGUGAACAAUUAAAAACCAGUGGUAUUUUUAAAGUACGCUUGAUAAUUAUUUCCGGUAAAUUUCAUUUAAUAAAAAAGGGUAGUUUAUAAACUUGUGUGAACGAUGGAGCCGAGCAUUCCAGGCAGUAGCAAAAGUGAACCAGGGGUGUUAUCUGCGCCUAUUUGGAAGUUCUUUAAGAAAUUACCAAAUAACAAGGUGCAAUGUACUUUGUGCCCUUCUGUCCUGAAAAUGGAAUAUGGUUCUACAACAGGUAUGCACAGACACUUAACAUCCGAAGGCAAAAAAUGAGUUGGCCAUUCUUCAGGAAAAAUACACAUCUUUCAAAUUAUCAAGCAGAAGUGAGAAAAAGUCAGUUAAAUCAGAUGUACCAACAAAUCAGCCCAAGCUAGCUAAUUUUGUCACCUUCGGUAUUGACCACCCCAAGCAAAAGGCUUUGACAAAAGAAGUAGGUAAAUGGUUAGCAAAUGGUUGCCAUCCAUACAGCAUUGUUGAUGAAAGAGGACAAAAGAAGUAGGUAAAUGGUUAGCAAAUGGUUGCCAUCCAUACAGCAUUGUUGAUGAAAGAGGCCAAAAAAAUGUUUUAAAAUUGGCUCAGCCUUUGUACAGUCUGCCAUCGAGCAAAACAUUCAGCAGGAAAAUAAUUCCAGAGUUGUACAAAGAAACAGUCAACAGUUUGAAUGCUAAAAUAGGCAGUGCCAUUUCCACUGUGUCAUCUCUAGCGUUCACAACAGACUUGUAGUCGUCGAGAAGUAAUCUUGCAUUCUUGUCAGUUACUAUGCACUGCAUGGAUCAAGAUUUCUGUCUUCAGUCUCAUUGUCUAGGUUAAUUUCAUUUCUCUGGUGACCACACAGCUUAAGCAAUAUGCAAGAAAUUCAAAGAAUGCUUACAUAAAUGGAAUCUGAGUGAUACAUGCAACACAUUGCCUGUAUUUCUAGUGACUGACAAUGCAAGGAACAUGAAGGCUGCAGUCUCAUUAUUAAAACCCUUCAGUCACUUGCAAUGUUUUGCACAUACUUUACAGCUUGUAUUGUCUAAUGCAAAGAAGAGUUCCGCAGAAAUACAAGAUUUGGUUAAAGCAUGCAGAUCUAUAGUUGGUUACUAUAAGCAUAGCACUACAGGCAUGGAGAGGCUUCAUAAAAUUCAAAAUCAAUUGAGAUUGCCAAAACUUAGAGUGAUUCUGGACUGCGAAACACGCUGGAAUUCUGAAUAACUGAUGCUUGAACGGUUACUGAACAUUAAGGAAGCUAUUUCAAGGGACUUGCUUUCAGAAGGAAAACAUGGCAAUCUAAGUAUCUCAGAAUGGAAAAUGGUUGAUACAUGUGUGAAAAUUCUCAAACCUCUUUAUCAGGCAACAGUGGAGGUGUAUGGUGAAAGGACACCGACAAGUACAAUUGUUAUUCCAAUUAUUUAUUUAAUAACAAAUAAACUGGACAAGUACUCUGCUGUAAAUGAACAUAGAAUUGGGAAAACAUUUGGGCACAAUUUGCUACUGUCACUUAAAUCAAGGUUUCCUGGUUACAAAACAAAGCAACCAUAUUUGUCAGCCAUGAUGCUGGAUCCCCGCUUCAAGCUCAUUCUUCUAGACAAGCAUGAGAAGGAUGCAGAUAUCCUAUUCCUUACACAGCAAAGCCAGGCACAAUCCUACAAGACUUGAGCAUAACCAUGCCACUUCACAAGUUCAAAAACUAUCUGCUACUUCGACAAAUCUCUUCGGUCAGAACUUGGAAAUGUACCUGUGUGAACCUGUUAUAGACAUAACGGAGGAUCCUUGUUUGUGGUGGAAAAAUAAUAUAACCCGAUUUCCAACACUCAAAAACAUUGUCUUGAGUUAUCUUGGCAUACCAGCAACAGAGGUUGCCAGUGAACGGGUUUUUUCUAGUGCUGGCAAUAUUGUCAGUGCCAAAAGAAAAAAAUUAACAAGUGAAAAAGUUGAAGAGUUGGUGUUUCUUCAUGAAAAUUUAAAGUAGAGGAGGACACAAGAUAUUUGUAUUUAUUACAUUUUAUGUUAUUUACUAGCUGCAAUACCCGGCAUUGCCCGGGCUGAACACAGGGUGAAGGGGACCUUUUUCGAAAUCAGAUGUAGUUAGUAAUUGUCUUCUUAAUUUGAAUGUCAAGUGUGAAAAUUAAUUUAUAUCACUUUCAGAUCCCGACAGACGUUGUUCUGCCAGUUUAUAGUUAUUUACCUGGUCUGUAUGUAAUUUAGACUUUAUAAAGCAAUAUAGAAAAAAGCUGAAAAAUAAGAGAUUACAAAUAUUGAAAAUAUUCCAUUAUCUAGCUAAUGCUCGGCCUGCAUUGCAAUGCCUCAUUCAGUUAUGUUUUGUAAUAUGUUUGAAGUAGUUCCACAUAUACAAAUCAUCUAUCCAUUUCUCUAUACAUAUUUAUCUCUAUCUACAUCUAUAUACAUCUAUGUAUCUCUCUAUCUCUAUUUA